This 975-nucleotide long non-coding RNA is filed under the name Lupinus angustifolius (narrow-leaved blue lupine). RNAcentral describes it as "long non-coding RNA (LANG_LNC002696)". Lineage: Eukaryota; Viridiplantae; Streptophyta; Magnoliopsida; Fabales; Fabaceae. The record is from RNAcentral.
CCAAGUAUAUAAUAAAGGAAGUUUGCCAAUUUCGCAAUUGGGGAAUAAAGAUAUGACUUGCACAAAAUGAUAACACACAUUAAUAACGAUGAUUUUGCUUAUAAAUAAGUUAACCUUCUAAACAAGUUUUCUUCCAACUUGAGAGUCAAAUAAAACUAAUACUGGGUGCAUUAGUGCAUAUAUAUUACAAGAGAAAAAUAGCCACCAUUGACUUACUAAUUCUGAACACAAUAUUUGCACAGCUGCACUUUCCUCAUCAUGCCAUUUAAACAUUCCACUACCAGGAGAAAUAAAAAAGAAGGUAGUGGAUCAUUUUUCUUCAAAUUUCUAUUAUAAACACUUCUACAAUAGAACUAUUAUGAAUUAAAGUACAAGAGUUACCUAAAAAAUACACACACUAGCAAAAUCCUUAUGUUUAUCGUACAUUCCAAAUUUUAUCAUUACCAAUUUUUUUAGCUAAAGUGAAUGAUACAUUUUAUCAAACGGAGAGAGAGAGGGGGAAAAGGUGGUAUUUUUUCAAUCAAUGGAGGAUAAGUAGAGGGGGAGAAUGAAGACUUAAAGGUUAUCUAAAACAUGUACAUAAUAUGCAAAAAUGUCUUUACAAGAAUUGUGAGGCUUUACUAGACCAGAUAGAAUCACAUACAAUAUCAAAACCUUUAAUUCAAAAGCAAAAGGACUAGAAGUCAUCUUAUUCGCUUGAUUGUGAUGAUGCAGGUGGAGAAACAGGUUCACCUUGAUGUCUGAAAGGUGAUUGUUGAAGAGUUAAGGAAUGAGAGAGGACUCAUCAUUGGAUAUUCAUCAUCAAUUGUUUGUGUUCAAGUCCAAACCUCUGAAAUUAUUGUUUCCCAUUUCUUUCUCCUUUCACCCUUUUGUAUAAUUUUGUAUGAGUUUCCUUUACAUUUUGAAGGGAAUAUACACACAAGGGUUAAGGGGGCAAGUGUAAAAGAAUACAUAUCCUCUGUCCCGUACCUUAUC